GACGAACGCUGGCGGCGUGCUUAACACAUGCAAGUCGAACGGAAAGGCCCUGCUUUUGUGGGGUGCUCGAGUGGCGAACGGGUGAGUAACACGUGAGUAACCUGCCCUUGACUUUGGGAUAACUUCAGGAAACUGGGGCUAAUACCGGAUAGGAGCUCCUGCUGCAUGGUGGGGGUUGGAAAGUUUCGGCGGUUGGGGAUGGACGCGCGGCUUAUCAGCGUGUUGGGGGGGUAGUGGCUUACCAAGGCUUUGACGGGUAGCCGGCCUGGGAGGGUGACCGGCCACAUUGGGACUAGGAUACGGCCCAGACUCCUACGGGAGGCAGCAGUGGGGAAUAAUGCACAAUGGGCGGAAGCCUGAUGCAGCAACGCCGCGUGCGGGAUAACGGCCUUCGGGUUGUAAACCGCUUUCGCCUGUGACGAAGCGUGAGUGGCGGUAAUGGGUAAAGAAGCACCGGCUAACUACGUG
This 468-nucleotide ribosomal RNA is filed under the name uncultured bacterium. Its description in RNAcentral is "partial 16S ribosomal RNA". It matches the Rfam family "Bacterial small subunit ribosomal RNA", at positions 28 to 507 of the family's 1533-position model. The record is from RNAcentral.